Molecule: small nucleolar RNA, 124 nt
Filed under: Echinops telfairi (small Madagascar hedgehog)
Lineage: Eukaryota; Metazoa; Chordata; Mammalia; Afrosoricida; Tenrecidae
Source: RNAcentral
AUGCACUGUUUGUAACCUGCUACCAGAUUUACUGCUGACAGGUUCCGUUCCAGUGCUACAGGAAUGCCCAGAAUAAUAUAAGAAUGGCAAAACUUGUCUGUCUGAUUUUAUCUUUGGGAGAGAA